UAGCAAGGAUAUUUAGUGCCAG
This 22-nucleotide microRNA is filed under the name Zea mays. RNAcentral's name for it is "microRNA miR-3033". Lineage: Eukaryota; Viridiplantae; Streptophyta; Magnoliopsida; Poales; Poaceae. The record is from RNAcentral.